GCCACGGUCCCAGAUUCCUUCCGGGAGGCAACCAGUAGGGAAUCUUCCGCAAUGGGGGGAAAGCCUGACGGAGCAACCGCCGCGUGAGUGAUGAAGGUCUUCGGAUCGUAAAAACUCUGUUAUUAGGGAAGAACAUAUGUGUAAGUAACUGUGCACAUCUUGACGGUACCUAAUCAGAAAGCCACGGCUAACUACGUGCCAGCAGCCGCGGUAAUACGUAGGUGGCAAGCGUUAUCCGGAAUUAUUGGGCGUAAAGCGCGCGUAGGCGGUUUUUUAAGUUCUGAAAGGAAAGCCCACGGCUCAACCGUGGAGGGUCAUUGGAAACUGGAAAACUUGAGUGCAGAAGAGGAAAGUGGAAUUCCAUGUGUAGCGGUGAAAUGCGCAGAGAUAUGGAGGAACACCAGUGGCGAAGGCGACUUUCUGGUCUGUAACUGACGCUGAUGUGCGAAAGCGUGGGGAUCAAACAGGAUUAGAUACCCUGGUAGUCCACGCCGUAAACGAUGAGUGCUAAGUGUUAGGGGGUUUCCGCCCCCUUAGUGCUGCAGCUAACGCAUUAAGCACUCCGCCUGGGGAGUACGACCGCAAGGUUGAAACUCAAAGGAAUUGACGGGGACCCGCACAAGCGGUGGAGCAUGUGGUUUAAUUCGAAGCAACGCGAAGAACCUUACCAAAUCUUGACAUCCUUUGACAACUCUAGAGAUAGAGCUUUCCCCUUCGGGGGACAAAGUGACAGGUGGUGCAUGGUUGUCGUCAGCUCGUGUCGUGAGAUGUUGGGUUAAGUCCCGCAACGAGCGCAACCCUUAAGCUUAGUUGCCAUCAUUAAGUUGGGCACUCUAAGUUGACUGCCGGUGACAAACCGGAGGAAGGUGGGGAUGACGUCAAAUCAUCAUGCCCCUUAUGAUUUGGGCUACACACGUGCUACAAUGGACAAUACAAAGGGCAGCGAAACCGCGAGGUCAAGCAAAUCCCAUAAAGUUGUUCUCAGUUCGGAUUGUAGUCUGCAACUCGACUACAUGAAGCUGGAAUCGCUAGUAAUCGUAGAUCAGCAUGCUACGGUGAAUACGUUCCCGGGUCUUGUACACACCGCCCGUCACACCACGAGAGUUUGUAACACCCGAAGCCGGUGGAGUAACCUUUUAGGAGCUAGCCGUCGAAGGUGGGACAAAUGAUUGGGGGAAGUCGAACCAAGGUAGCCUUAGG
This 1200-nucleotide ribosomal RNA is filed under the name Staphylococcus aureus. RNAcentral's name for it is "partial 16S ribosomal RNA". It matches the Rfam family "Bacterial small subunit ribosomal RNA", at positions 323 to 1506 of the family's 1533-position model. Lineage: Bacteria; Bacillati; Bacillota; Bacilli; Caryophanales; Staphylococcaceae. The record is from RNAcentral.